This 414-nucleotide ribosomal RNA is filed under the name uncultured bacterium. RNAcentral describes it as "bacterial SSU rRNA". It matches the Rfam family "Bacterial small subunit ribosomal RNA", at positions 210 to 616 of the family's 1533-position model. The record is from RNAcentral.
ACCUCGCGCGAUAGGAGCGGCCGAUGUCAGAUUAGCUAGUUGGUGAGGUAAAGGCUCACCAAGGCGACGAUCUGUAGCGGGUCUGAGAGGACGGCCCGCCACACUGGAACUGAGACACGGUCCAGACUCCUACGGGAGGCAGCAGUGGGGAAUUUUGGACAAUGGGCGCAAGCCUGAUCCAGCCAUUCCGCGUGAGUGAAGAAGGCCUUCGGGUUGUAAAGCUCUUUCGGCAGGAACGAAACGCUCUGGGCUAAUACCCCGGGGUAAUGACGGUACCUGAAGAAGAAGCACCGGCUAACUACGUGCCAGCAGCCGCGGUAAUACGUAGGGUGCGAGCGUUAAUCGGGAUUACUGGGCGUAAAGCGUGCGCAGGCGGUUUUGUAAGACAGAUGUGAAAUCCCCGGGCUUAACCUG